AGUGGAUGGGGAGCAACCUAGUUGUGCGUGUGUAAAGGUAGUGCCAAGAAAAGCGAUGAUCAUGUUGAAAAUCAAUUCCCGGUACCCGAAACCGACACAGGUGGGCAAGUAGAGAAUACUAAGGGGCGCGAGGUAACUCUCUCCAAGGAACUCGGCAAAAUGACCCCGUAACUUAGGGAGAAGGGGUGCCACCGAGAGGUGGUCGCAGUGAAGAGGCCCAGGCGACUGUUUAGCAAAAACAUAGGUCUCUGCAAACUCGAAAGAGGAGGUAUAGGGGCUGACGCCUGCCCAGUGCCGGAAGGUUAAAGAAGUUGGUCAGUUUUAGGAUGAAGCUAGCGACUGAAGCCCCGGUGAACGGCGGCCGUAACAUAACGGUCCUAAGGUAGCGAAAUUCCUUGUCGGGUAAGUUCCGACCCGCACGAAAGGCGUAACGAUCUGGGCGCUGUCUCGGAGAGAGGCUCGGCGAAAUAGGAUUGUCUGUGAAGAUACGGACUACCUGCAUUUGGACAGAAAGACCCUAUGAAGCUUUACUAUAGCUUGGAAUUGUGUUCGGGCUUCCUGUGCGCAGGAUAGGUGGGAGGCGUAGAAGGUAUUCUUGUGGGGAUACUGGAGCCAACGGUGAGAUACCACUCUCAGGAGGCUAGAAUUCUAACUUAAUUAAGGACAGUUUCAGGUGGGUAGUUUGACUGGGGCGGUCGCCUCCAAAAAGGUAACGGAGGCGUACAAAGGUUCCCUCAGACUGGUUGGAAAUCAGUCGAAGAGUGCAAAGGCAGAAGGGAGCUUGACUGCGAGAAGUACAGUUCGAGCAGGGUGGAAACACGGUCUUAGUGAUCCGACGGUGCUGUGUGGAAGGGCCGUCGCUCAACGGAUAAAAGUUACUCUAAGGAUAACAGGCUGAUCUCCCCCAAGAGUUCACAUCGACGGGGAGGUUUGGCACCUCGAUGUCGGCUCAUCGCAACCUGGGGCGGAAGUACGUCCCAAGGGUUGGGCUGUUCGCCCAUUAAAGCGGUACGUGAGCUGGGUUCAGAACGUCGUGAGACUGUUCGGUCCAUAUCCGAUGUAGGCGUGAGAAUAUUGAGAGGAGCCUUCCUUAGUACGAGAGGACCGGGAAGGACGCACCGCUGGUGUACCUGUUAUGAUGCCAAUUGUAAACGCAGGGUAGCCAAGUGCGGAGAAGAUAACCGCUGAAAGCAUCUAAGUGGGAAGCCCACCUCAAGAUGAGUAUUCUGGUGUAAGGUCACGGGAAGACGACCCGUAAAUAGGCACGAGGUGGAAGUGCAGAGAUGUACGAAGCCGAAGUGUACUAAUAGACCGUCGGCUUGACC
RNAcentral lists this ribosomal RNA (1325 nucleotides) under metagenome. RNAcentral's name for it is "bacterial LSU rRNA". It matches the Rfam family "Bacterial large subunit ribosomal RNA", at positions 1561 to 2925 of the family's 2925-position model. The record is from RNAcentral.